This 565-nucleotide long non-coding RNA is filed under the name Capsella rubella. Its description in RNAcentral is "long non-coding RNA (CRUB_LNC001096)". Lineage: Eukaryota; Viridiplantae; Streptophyta; Magnoliopsida; Brassicales; Brassicaceae. The record is from RNAcentral.
GUCCCGUACGUGCGCAGGCUGUAUUUGGAAACAUAGCUAGUAACUCUUCUCUACAAAUUUCUUUUGGUUUGGCUCACCCGGAUGGAGAUAUUGAGUCAUUAUAAUAUAAAUAAUAGUCGCAUGAUCAUUCCAACAAACAUAACUUCUCGAUCACCAUGCACUCCUGUCGUGCUCAUGCCUGAUAUCCAUGUUACCAUGUAACUUACAUACGCAUGCAUCGUUCAAGGACUUGAUAGAUGGAUUGUAAUAUAUAUCUCAAAUCCAUAUUGAGUUUUUAACCAAUUGAUUUUUUUUUUAACUCAAAUGUUUGUAGUUCUCACCAGAGAGGAGGGGAGAAGCCUACUUGCUAAGAGCAUCGAAGACUCUGGAUAUUCUCCUGAUUAGUCUCUCUUAAAGUUACGUAUGCCAUAGAAUUUAUAUGAUCCAUCUAUGGGAAUAUUAUUACAUCAACAAUAAAAAAUAAUGCUACGUAUCUUGAUAUAGAAAAGAAUAACAAUAUAUAAUGCUACGACUUUAGGAAUAUCAAAUACAAUUAUAUAUAUAUAUUCAUUUGUUUUUUUGGUUA